RNAcentral lists this ribosomal RNA (426 nucleotides) under uncultured bacterium. Its description in RNAcentral is "partial 16S ribosomal RNA". It matches the Rfam family "Bacterial small subunit ribosomal RNA", at positions 354 to 796 of the family's 1533-position model. The record is from RNAcentral.
GUGAGGAAUUUUCCGCAAUGGGCGAAAGCCUGACGGAGCAAUGCCGCGUGAAGGAUGAAGGCCUAUGGGUUGUAAACUUCUUUUCUCAGAAAAGAAUUAUGACGGUAUCUGAGGAAUAAGCAUCGGCUAACUCUGUGCCAGCAGCCGCGGUAAGACAGAGGAUGCAAGCGUUAUCCGGAAUGAUUGGGCGUAAAGCGUCUGUAGGUUGUUUAAAAAGUAUUCUGUCAAAGAUUAGGGCUUAACCCUAGAUAGGCAGAAUAAACUUUUAAGCUAGAGUUUGGUAGAGGCAGAGGGAAUUCCCGGUGGAGCGGUGAAAUGCGUAGAUAUCGGGAGGAACACCAAAGGCGAAGACACUCUGCUGGGCCAAUACUAACACUGAGAGACGAAAGCGAGGGGAGCAAAUGGGAUUAGAAACCCCAGUAGUCC